RNAcentral lists this ribosomal RNA (502 nucleotides) under uncultured archaeon. RNAcentral's name for it is "bacterial SSU rRNA". It matches the Rfam family "Archaeal small subunit ribosomal RNA", at positions 352 to 859 of the family's 1478-position model. The record is from RNAcentral.
GCAAUAAGCGAAAGCUUGACAGGGUUAUUCUGAGUGAUUUCCGCUAAGGAAAUCUUUUGGCACCUCUAAAAAUGGUGCAGAAUAAGGGGUGGGCAAGCCUGGUGUCAGCCGCCGCGGUAAUACCAGCACCCCGAGUGGUCGGGACGAUUAUUGGGCCUAAAGCAUCCGUAGCCGGUUCUGCAAGUCUUCCGUUAAAUCCACCUGCUUAACAGAUGGGCUGCGGAGGAUACUAUGGAGCUAGGAGGCGGGAGAGGCAAGCGGUACUUAGUGGGUAGGGGUAAAAUCCGUUGAUCCAUUGAAGACCACCAGUGGCGAAGGCGGCUUGCCAGAACGCACUCGACGGUGAGGGAUGAAAGCUGGGGGAGCAAACCGGAUUAGAUACCCGGGUACCAGCUGUGAACGAUGCAGACUCGGUGAUGAAUAGGCUUCGUGCCUAUUCAGUGCCGCAGGGAAGCCGUUAAGUCUGCCGCCUGGGGAGUACGGUCGCAAGACUGAAACUUAA